UAUUAAUUGAACAAAUGAGUGGGAGAACGUUGGUGUUGAUAUUGUCCCUUUGGGCUGUCCUUGCUAUCGUGACCCCUAUCCUUGUCCGCCUGUCUGCUUCUGCCACACCAAAUGGCGAAUUUUUCGUCAUUACACACACUAUAGCUAGUGAGAAAGUGAUGGGCUUGCUGGCAAGAAGGGCGCUUGUUGCACAACCAUCAAAUAAACGCCAUUUUGAGGUUGAAGACAUUAAUUAUUCUUCGCUGCUUUUUCGGUUGUUUUAGACAUAGCUUUUCAUCUAUACAGUAUAUAUAUACACACAUACCAAAUAACUAAA
Solanum pennellii is the source of this 316-nucleotide long non-coding RNA. RefSeq lists it as uncharacterized. The record is from RefSeq and is a predicted model, not a curated record. The transcript has 2 exons. Lineage: Eukaryota; Viridiplantae; Streptophyta; Magnoliopsida; Solanales; Solanaceae.